Molecule: ribosomal RNA, 253 nt
Filed under: uncultured bacterium
Lineage: Bacteria
Description: partial 16S ribosomal RNA
Rfam family: Bacterial small subunit ribosomal RNA
Source: RNAcentral
UACGUAGGCAGCGAGCGUUGUUCGGAAUUACUGGGCGUAAAGAGUGUGUAGGCGGUGCUCUAAGUUCGGUGUGAAAUCUCCUGGCUUAACUGGGAGGGUGCGCCGGAAACUGGAGUGCUUGAGCGUGGGAGAGGAAAGCGGAAUUCCUGGUGUAGCGGUGAAAUGCGUAGAUAUUGGGAGGAACACCAGUGGCGAAGGCGGCUCACUGGACCGGUACUGACGCUGAUGCGCGAAGGCUAGGGUAGCAAACAGG